UCUUCUUCUUUUCCACUUCAAAAAACUCCCCCCUCAUUCCAACAUUGAAGCAAAGUUAUCUCCUGAAACAUAGAAAACCCACUAGAGAGACCAGUGUAGCUUGAAGCAAAACAGAGGAGCUUAGUUACACUACAUUGCUUGCUUAGACAGAGUAAAAGAACACAAGAGCUACAAGUAACACAAAGGAGUUAACUAGAGAGAGAGAGAGAGAUUGGUGUAGGGGGGGUGGGGGGAGUAGUGGGGAGGUGGAGAGUGAUGCGAACAGGGGCUUGCACAAUCCANUUAUCUCCUGAAACAUAGAAAACCCACUAGAGAGAGAGAGAGAGAGAAGUAGAGCUACAAGUAACACAAAGGAGUUAACUAGAGAGAGAGAGAGAGAUUGGUGUAGGGGGGGUGGGGGGAGUAGUGGGGAGGUGGAGAGUGAUGCGAACAGGGGCUUGCACAAUCCAACAGGCCCUCACAGCAGAGGCAGCCACAGUGCUGAAGCUGUCCCUGAACUUAGCAAGGAGGAGAGGCCAUGCACAAGUGACACCUCUCCACGUAGCCGCCACCCUCCUCACCUCCUCUGCCUCUUCUUCUUCUUCCUCCUCCUCUUCCUCUUCUCCAUUUCCUUCCUCCAAUCUACUCAGAAGAGCUUGUCUCAAAUCACACCCCCACCACCCUGCUUCUCACCCUCUCCAGUGCAGAGCCCUCGAGCUCUGCUUCAAUGUCGCACUCAAUAGACUCCCCACAACCCCACCACCCCCCUCCUCCUCCACUUCCUCUUGCUCCUCUACCACCACCACUGCUGCUGCUACUAACUCUCUCAUCCACUCCCACCCAACUCUCUCCAAUGCUCUCAUCGCUGCUCUCAAGAGAGCUCAAGCCCACCAAAGAAGAGGCUGCAUUGAGCUGCAGCAGCAGCAGCAGCAGCAGCAGCUGUCGCCGCAGUCGCCACAGCCGCUCUUGGCCAUCAAAGUGGAGCUCGAGCAGCUCAUCAUCUCCAUCUUGGAUGACCCGAGCGUGAGCAGAGUGAUGAGGGAGGCUGGUUUCUCCAGCACCUCUGUUAAGAGCAACUUCGAAGAACAGAGCUCCUCCUCCUCCUCCUCUGUUUCCCUCACCUCAUCAUCAUCUCCCCCGUUCUACUUUGAUCCCCAGGGAUGUUUCUGGCAAACCCAGUUCCUGAAACCCAGCUCUGAACCAAACAACCCAGCAAACCACCACUAUUUGUCACAGAGUGAGGAUCUGCGGCUGCUUUUGGAGGUGUUGGUGAGGAAGCAGGGGAGGAGGAGGAGGAGGAGUGUGGUGGUGGUGGGGGACUCUGCUCCCACCAAUGAGAGCCUUGUGAGUGAGCUGAUGAGGAGGGUGGAGAGAGGGGAUGUUCCAAAUGAGCUCAAACCCUGCUGCUUCAUCAAGUUCCAACUCUCCUAUCUCCAUUUGAGGCUAAUGAGCAGAGGAGAUGUGGACACAAAGGUGAGUGAGCUCAAGAGGAAGGUGCUUAGCUCCUCAGCUUUAGUAGAGAAGGGGGGGAGUGGUGGUGGUGGAUGUGUGAUCAUAUAUGUUGGGGAUUUGAGGUGGGUGGUUGAUGGUGAAGCAAAGGAUGGGGAGUGGGGUGGAGUGGAGUACAUGGUUGAGGAGGUUGGGAGGAUGCUGGGGGAGGUGAACAAUGGCUCACCCAACAAUGUACCCAGCAACAGGGUGUGGGUGUUGGCCACUUCAUGCUACAGCACAUACAUGAGGUGUCAAAUGAGGAAGCACUCAUUGGAGGCACAGUGGGCCCUACAAGCUGUGAUGGUUCCCUCAGGUGGGCUUGCAUUGAGCCUACAAGCUCCAACAAGGUGAGUCCCCCUCUCUGUUUUUUUAUUUUUAUUUUUAUUUUUUAAGGAGUAUAAUUUUGUCUCUUUUUGACAUAGAUAUGGUGAUUUUUAUUCUGUUGCAAGUGUCACUGUAGUUGUUCUCUUCUCAUGCUUGUUUCACUUGUUGUUCUUAUCAUCUUAUAAGCUACAUUGUUGUGAAAGUAGUGAGUAUAUAUAUAUAUAUAUAUAUACAAAGAGAGGAUGGUCAUUUUCAUUUUCCUCUCUUUGGAAUAAAACCAACCAAAUAUAUAUCAAUUUCCACUAAUGGAAACUCUUAUAUAUAGGAUUGAAGCCCAAUGUGCCUUGUUUUUACUUGCUCCAUUUAUCUUUUCUGAUCAAAAAGGCAAGAAAAAGAAAAAGAAAAACAGAAAACUCAACUCAUAUAAUGACCCAAACAAAUUAAUAAUGAAACUUCCUUGGAUAGUUUUACUUUUCCUUUUUGCUAUAUAACUGAAGAAGAGAACAAAAGAUUAUAUUACUUAAAUUUCUCUCUCUUAUUGUUUCAUUUUUGUACAGUGGUUUGGACUCAAGGGUGACAAAAAUAGCUCAGUAUCCCUUCCAAAUGCUGGAGCCGCAGGCUUUUAGCCCCAGCAAGGAGGAAGAAGAUAAGCUCACCUGCUGUGUUGAAUGCAGCAGCAACUAUGAGAAAGAAGCUUCAUCCUACAGCCCAGAAGCCAAAAGCACUAACUUUGCCUCUACCACUUUGCCUCUUUGGUUGCAACCACUUAACAAGGUAAAAAAAAGAACAAGAAAAAAAGAAGUGAACUUAACUUAUAUUUGUUCUUAUAUUUCAAUAUACUGUUUAGUAACUAAUGUGAUUUAUCUAAAUACAGGAUAACUUGGUUGAAUUGAGGAGGAAAUGGAAUAGAUUAUGUCAGAGAAUCCAUCAUGGUCAAAACAACAGGAUUCAUCCACUCCCUUCUCUGUUUAACCAAGGCCUAACUGGGAAGAGCUUCGCUGCUUAUGCUUCCUCGCAUCCAUGGCGGCGGCUCGGUGACUCGCAGAACAAACAAAACAAGCCAUUUACUGAGCCAUGUUUGCUGAGCUUUGAUAAUACCCAGGAGGUGGGAUUAAGCUCCCUCAAGAAGCCCGAAAACCAGGAAGUGAAAACAGCUUUGGUGUUGGGCACUCCGCUUUUCUCGGAUUCGGCGACUUCGCUUGAGGCGAACAAGAGGGGAGGGAUCGGAGACCUGCGGGAACUGGAGAGGCGAUUGAAGGAGAACAUCUUUUGGCAGUUGGGCGCCGUUAGUUCGAUCGUCGAGGCUCUCGUCGAUUGUGAUGCUGGCGAGAGGAAGGGCACUUGGUUUCUGAUGCGAGGGAACGAUCGCGUCGCCAAGAGAAGGGCGGCGAUGGUGAUCGCGGAGUCCUGGUGCGGAUCGAUCGAUGGUUUAGUUUGCGUAAACGUGAGGGAAUCGGCGAGAAGAGGGAGUUCAUGCUCCGAGAUCCUCUCGGAAGCCCUGAAGAAAGACGAGAAAUGCGUGAUCUUGAUCGAGGGCAUAGAUCGAGCGGAUACCAAUUUCGCGAACUCUUUAGUAGAUGGCCUAAAAAUCGGAUCUUUUGUGGACCCAUUGGGGAGAGAAUUAGCUCUAUCGAAUUCGAUCAUCAUUCUCGCUACUUCUAGCGGCGAAGAACAGGAGAGCAAUGUGCUCGCGAUGAGGAUGUGGGUCGAAGAGCAAUUGCCAGUCGGUGAUCUCAAAAGGAAGGCUCCGACCGAAUUGCCGAACAAAUCCAAGAAACCGAGAAUCGAAAAGAACGGUUUCGAUCUGAACGUUUGCUUCGAGGAGGAGGACGACGACGAGGGAAAUGGCGAGAAGGCGAACGAGGGGGUUAACGAAGAAGAGGAGGACGCCGUCCCGAGCGAUCUCACCCACGAAGGAGGGGAUACUACGAACACCAAUCUCCCGCACGGAAUACUCGAAUCGGUCGCCGCCUCGUUCACCUUCGAAGCAGGGCCCGACUCGUUCCGACUCAUCUCCGACCACAUCGUAUCGAAGCUCAACCAAGCUUUCGACAGGACCGGCGACCGAGCGAAUGGCCUUCAUGUAGAGGAAACAGUGGUGGAGGGGAUGGUAAGAGCUUCUGGGUAUUUCCUGGAGAGUUUGUAUGAGAGGUGGGUGAGAGAGGUUUUUCAAACUGGUUUGGCAACGGUCAAAAAGGGCGGGGAAGGGGGGGUGAGGCUAGGGUUUGAGGGUAAAGAGGUAAAUUCAGGGGAGUUAGGGUUCCAGGGAUCAGUUCUACCCAGUAGGAUUCAUGUGGACUGAACACUAAUCUCGAUCAUCUGUCCCCUGUCACCAUGCAUCAUCCCUUGUAAAAUAUUAGAUUUUCCAAAAAUGCCAUUAUGUACUCUUUUUUUUUCUUAAUCUCUUUGCUUUUUUUCAUUUAUGAUCGUCGUCAUCAUCACCAUCACCAUCACCAUCAUUGUUGUUGUCCUCGCAAUCUCAACCAGAGUCCAACUUGUUUAUGUUAGUGUGGUUUCGAUUGGAUCGUGAUUCGUUCACGGAGUGAAUCAUAAUCAGAGUCGAGCCAAUCUAACCCCGUCAUUAUUAAUAAUAAGUCAAUAUUUACAUGGACAUUUAUUCUUAGGUUAGUGUCCUUAGAUACGUGUUAAGAAGCAUCUAAUAGAGGAUAAAGGUAUAAAAAAGGAGUUUCUGAGAGUAGGAUAUACUUAAAACUGCAUAACUAUUCAAAACAAUAAUUUUUUUAUACCAUAUCAUGAGCUGGUAUUAUCCCCUUGUCAAUGUAUCUAAAUAAUUGUCUAUCUAUUAUUGUUAUUAUUAUUAUUAUCAAAAGUAGCUGGUGUUGUUUUCCUUCUGUUUUUUUUUUUUUUUUUUUUGGUCUGUGGAGAGAGGACAUGAGAGGGGACAAACUCUGGCCAUCUUUUGUUCUCCCUUUUGUUUGGAGGCACUUUGCAUGCACGCUAGAAAAGUCAUUGGAAGAAGGGGGAAUAAAAAAUAACCCAAGAUAAAAAAGAAGAAGACAUGCUCACUUGUAUUCAGAUUGGUGAAAAAAGAAAAGCCUGGGUUGGGUUGGGAUGAGUGACCAAUGAAGCUUUUUGGAGUUAACACCUUUUUUGAGUCCAUUAUUGUACAUAUAUACAUAGCAUUCAUUGUUUUGCUUCAGAGAAGGAGAAGUGUUGGGUUCAUGGGUCCAUGAGAUGGUUUAAGUGACUCCUUGGUUUUAGGAUUCCAAGGAGGAAUCCAACAAAUGGGUAUGAUUGGAAGUUGUUCAAGCUAUUUACUUUUUGGGGUUUCACUUUAGGGGUUUUUAUUUUCUAAUAAUGACACAGGGUGAGAGGUGCUAUCAUAGUCAUAGAACUUCAAAAAUAAAAAGCCUAUAUAUAUCCAUUGUUACUAAAUAAUCAUCUCUUUUCUACUAGCUGGACAAAUUGAAACUUACUUAAUACCAUCUAAAAUCAAACAACUAUGAUUAGCACAUCACAUGGGAGUCUAAUAGGUUCCAUUCUAAAGCCACAUUCAUAAAAGCAUAGUUUGGUAGGAACACACAAGUCCACUACAUAACCCAUAAGAAGAUUUGCCACUCAAAAGAAAAAGGAAAAACUUAAAAAAGUUUAGGAAAGAUAACUAUGUAACUAGGUUUGCUGAGAAUGUAUAUAUACUCUCUUAGGCAAAUCAAACCCAAUAAUAGUUUGCUUAAUCAACUACAAUGAGAAAGUAUUUAAUACAUAAUCCAUAGAAAGACAAAGAGCUUUUGACAUAAGAGGGAGUUGCAGCUCACCCACAAAACCUUUAUAUCUCUCUAUCUUUUUGCUCAUCACACUUGAGCUAACAAAGGAGGUCUUCUAAUGUUGCCAUUAUAAUUCGAUGGAAAAGUAGUAAUCCUCCACCAGUCCAAUAACCAAUGAUCCUUGCGCUUCAUUAUUUUAUUCAUCUAAAAGCAAAAGCUCUUAUAUUCUUUAUCAUUGCUUUGACCCAAGGAGCCAUGUAGAGGAGCAUACACAUGAAUUUAAUAAGGUAUGGUAAAGCAUUCAUGAUGAUAGAUCUUAAGCCCUAAGAAUUUGAACACUCAAAUGUGCUCACUAUCAGCUUUUCUACUCUUUCAAGGGAGUAAGUGGCAAAAAGCUAAAGUUGUUAUCCUGAUCACCAUCAUUACCUAGCCAUUGGCUCUCCUCGUAAACACUGGAACAAUGCCUUUUCUCCUCUACUAAUGAAGUCACCAAAAAAUUUAAUCGACCACUUGUACCUAGGACACUAGCUUUGGAGGUUCAAGUGAUAUCACUAUAUGAAUAUUCUCUGCUUUGUUCUCUACUGCUAGUAUAAUUUGUAAGAACGCUAUUGAGCGAUUAAGUAUGGUAUCCUUUACCCAAGUACUUGUUGUGAAUACUCACGUGAUAGUGCGCCAUCCCUAAUGACCGGUAAAAUAUUCUGAAGACACAUCCACUAAAGAUUAGACUAGGUGAUGUGACCAAUGUACAAGCAACUUGAUCCACUAAGCCUUCAAAGUAGUGGUCAAUCAAUCCGAAAAAUAAGGAAAAGUGGUUCAAUUUUAGCUGCAUUAAAGAACCAGGACUUGGCUAUAUCAACCUAACAAAUAUCUAAACAUUAUUAUAUUUUCAUGAUACUGGUGAUUCAAACAAAUAAACUGAGAAACUGCUGAAGCUGUGCAUAAAAUGGGUGCUUAGAUGCAUUUACAUGUUUCUACAGAGCCAAGGUUGUGACAAGAAAACCAUAGUACUAAGAAAUUAAUACCUAAUUUACAUUUUCUAUAGCACCCAUUAGUUACCAACCUUACAAAAUUUCAUUUUUAAUAUAACAUAAAAUGUGAAAAAAGAAAUGGAAUGCAUAUAUUAAGUUCAUUGUUCUCCUUUGUAGCUUAAAUCUUGACAGGUCUCAAUCAUUGGGCCCUCAACUACUUUAGGAGGCAUAUAUGGAGGACACUGAGUACUUACAAAUUCCUGAAGAUAACCAUUUUCACUAGACUUCUCAUUGUCAUGGACCCCACUUAUAAAGCCCACUAAGAAUACUUAACACAAAACAAUGUGGCCUACCACCUUUAGUGGAAAAAGCAUAGCAAGAAUUUAGACUAAUUUAAGCACCUCUUUUGAGGUAAAAGAUUGGGAGGUGGUAGUGCACACCACCUUUGAGGGGGUUUUGGUAUUUGCCCUAGAUAUGAUAAUGGGCUAAGGACCCCAGAGAGUGAUGGUUUCUUAACCCUCAAACACAUAUGAAAAAGAAUGGGAAAAAGGCAGAGAAAAGCAAGGCACUGUCAUAUGCUUAGCAUAGCUACCACCCAUUGUGUUGAAAUGCCUUUUGGUUUCCCUCCAUGAAUGAGGAUGGUAUCUAAUUCCCUUAUAACACUAAAGAAAUAAACCACUUUUUACAUAUGGGAGGAAAUGUAGUACUUCUAUAUGAGGAUUUAAUGUGAAAAGAGACUUUACCAAUAAUAAUAGAAAGUGCAGUAGUAGUAGUAAUAGUAGUACUACAGGUGGCAAAAGGGCGUAGCACAACGCACAUGGUAAUCACCAUCUUUAGGUAAAGAAAACAAUGCGCUGUACGAUAAGAUUAAAGUAAUUAUGCCUGUAAACACAAUAAUUGAACCGCAAAUCUAAAAGAGAAGGGCUCAAUAAUUCAGGAGAACACCUGAAAAGGAGAAAUGACAGUCCCUUCGUGAAUUUUCAUGGUGUUUUGGUUAAUGAUGCUCGUCCAAAAAUUUUGAGCAUGAUUAAACCUAUGAUUAUGGGAAUACUACUCCUACUAGGUAUAAUGAUAAUGAAGAUGAAUGAUUUGGAUAGUAGCAGUCACAAGAUAUAUCAAUGUAGGAGAUCAUUUUUCUCCUAAUUAACCAGGUAUUGGAAGAUGAAUGACAUGUUCACUAUGGUGCAUUGGGUUCACAUGGGUUCUUCCAAAAUUUGUAUAUCAUAGAACUUUCGUUCUCACAAUUUCCUUGAUAUACAUCUUAAUGUACCAAAGAGCCUUAUUUUCAGAUAUAAUCAAAUAAAAUUACAAGUUGACAUGCAAAACAUAAAAUUUUGUGAAGAAACAUUAAUGCCCUUAAAGAGCUUUUAGCUUCUGUUGCGUUAAACCAACCAGCAACAUUUUCAACCUCCCAUGUUGUUUAUGUUCCGAUAGAACGAUGCACCCUCUUUUUGUCCCAAGAAAAUUUCAUCUUGUCAGAAGUAAAUUGGAGCAAAUAAUUCCAAAAAGGAGAGAGAAGAAGUGGGUCUAUCUUACUACAUUGUAACCUGAUAUUUUUUUUACCUUUUCAAGUGUCAAGUUAAACACUAGUUCCAUAGAAAAGUCCUCCUAAAACAAGUUCCUAGGACAUAAAUGGCUCCCAACACCCCCCCAUCCAAACAACUAAUGUAAAUAAGAGAGGGUGCAUUUUAACCUGUCAGACAACAAAAACACAAAGCUCAUUCUACAACAAACUUCUGCUAGAAAAUUUCCUUCAUUCUAGGAGAGAUUGUAAAAUUGAAAACAGUAAGAUAAUAGUAAGACAGGAAAACUUGAUAAUCCAAUGGAAGUUGUGAAAAUUACCUAACCAUUCAGCUUGCUUCUUUCAUGUUCUACUGCCGAGGUCCUUGUAAAGAUUGGAAGCUUGUGAAAGUUCAGCAAUAACCUGCUAACAUAGUAAGAAUUUAAAAUUGUUCAGUUGCCCUGGGUGACAUAUUUAUUAUUUUAAGAAUCAAGAAUAUACAGUCUAAAAAAACUGACCAAAUACAUAAAUAUAAAUCUUGCUCCCUUUCUUCUCUGCCUGUGUUCCAACGAGUUAACAAAGAAAAAAGGCCCUGAAAUAGUAUGUGAAAACUCAAAAGCACCAUGUUACCUCCAAACGAUAUGCAUUGUGCACAACUUAACUUUUCUCCAUGGCUAUAUGAAAAGUUAUGUUAGAACUAUAUAUAUAUAUAUAUAUAUAUAUAUAUAUAUAAGUAAGAGAAAGGGAAACAAUGAGUGUAAAAGCAAAGGUCAUUGAGCCAGCUCCAGAGAUAGUACAAGAAAAUUCUGAAGCACCAAGGAGUAUCCACUGAUGCAUUACUUCUCAAUGAGAGUAAACUAAAAUUAAACUAAAAUCUGCCCUCUGGCUUGUUAAAGAAUGAAUUAUGAUGCACAUAGAUUACAAGAGAGAAAAGAAAAAAAAAAUUACAAACUAAUGUACAAAGAAUUAAUUGUAUUGAGCUAGUCCCACAACUCAAAUGGCUCAAACUCUAUAGCUGUAUGUUACAGAGGGCAACUUGUAAGGAGCUAACCAGCUAAUACUAAUAUACAAUUCUGGUCUUUAUCAUUUCAAACUUCAACCUCACGAACAUUUAGAGAAUCAAGUUCGAGCAAUUGAUUUACUAGCCUCUCCACCUCCUUUUGUUGGAGAUUCAUAGCUUCGAUUACCAUAGAAUGUGCUGCCUUGCAAACCUGCUCUUCUCUAAAGGCUAAUGUCCAUCUCCCAUCAACCAAAACCUUCAUUUUGGUUUUACCAAAUCCAUUGUACUUUGAGGGAUCCAAGAAAGGUAGGGUUGAGGGGCGUAUGCGUAAAUGCAACCACUUUGGAUGCUCCUCGUCUAUCCUAGGCUGAUUGCAGAAUGACAAAAGAGAAGAAAAUCAGAACCUUGUAAAUUAACAUUUUAUUCACGCUAUCCCAAGCAUCCAUUUUUCCCAAUUGGGUUUGUCAAGACUUGAGAAAAUCAAAGUUGCUGUGCAACAACAUAUAGAAAAAGCAAAACAGAAGAGAAUCAAAUUUAAAAGUAAAAGCAAUAUUAUAAGCAUCGGUUUUUACGUUCCUAAUAGGAGCAAACUCCCUAUUGAUUGUUUGCUCACCAAGUUCCAUCCAAUCAAUGUUAGAACUGCUUCCGCUUGCGCAAUGAAGUGCCUUCAACAAAAUCAUUGAAGGAAACUUUGCCAGUAUAUUCUUUUGGUUUACAGCAAAAACAUGAACAAAAAGCACUUCACUACAUCUCAAUUUGAUAAGGCAUGAUUUACGGUAGAAAAGCUGUGUGUAAAUGAGCUUGAGCCCAACCUAUAGAAAGUGUCCAUGAUGUCAAUCUCAUUCACCUAUUAAAAGUGUCAAUGAUGAGUAAGCUAAAAUGCAAAUUUACCACAGUAGCUACUUUCUUCAGAAAGCCAAAACCCUAAGCAUUAAAAUUAAAAAUAAAAAUAAAAAACAAAUUGCGCAAAUUUUUACAAGCCAGAAGGAAGUUCUACAUUCUUAGUUUAGCAGCUUUACGACUUCUGCAUGUUUUAAAAAAUACCCUACAUCAAACAUUUCUAGUAAGCAAAAGCUACAACAGCUUUCAACUUAUAUCAAACAAUUUUAAAAUUUAUAGCUGACAUAUCGAAGACAACGGACAAUAAUUUUUCAAAAAGUCAAAGCAAAAGAAAGCUCGCAAUUCAAAUAAUUUUUCAGACAAGUCAUAGGAAAAGAAAGCUCGCAAUUCAAUUUUUCUAUAGAAGAUUUGAUAUACAUACAUCUGAGCCGGCCAAGGGGGCUAUGACACGAAUAAUUCCACGUUGCUGCUUGAGGGGUAACUCUUCCACAAGAAGCAGCCAACCAGAUGUUCCCUUAGACAUAGCUAAAAAAGAAAAGUAGCGUUCUUUCCCUCUCUCAAAUGCUAUUCUACAGGGUACAGCAUUAGCUGGAAAAAAGAGCACAAGAAAGCAGGCUGUAAGAUAAAUCCGGCAAUGCAGCCAAAUAUGCCGCUAAUAGAUAGGGCCUCUAACAUGUAUAUCCCUAGAACAUCAUCUAUAAAUAGACAUAUGCAACCCGUACAACCUGAAUUGGCAUAUCUUUUCUUUUCUUUUCAUUUUUUGAUAAAUCCUACCUGAUCUUUAACCUGGAAAAAAUUAACUCAAAACCCCUCAACUUACGUUGGGGAGUCAUCUAAUUCACGGAAGGAAAUAGCUCUCUUAUCAGAAUGUUAUUAUGUAACAACAAGGGUAAAAAUGUCAAAAAAAAAAAGCUUUUGAAGGGCAUAUAUGAAAAUUCAUAUUUUGCAGGAAAAUAUAUCGAAAUCGAAAUGAAUAAAGAGAUGCCAAUCUUCUAGCAUACCCAAAUCAAUUUCAGAGCCAGGUUUCGGUACUAGAACAUCUAAACCAGCAGAUUUUGUUUCAGAACCUCGAGGAGAAAACAUUGGAGAAUUUAUUGUGGGUUGAUCGGCUAAAGUUCCUCCAAGAGAAAAAACUAGCAGUUGACGUUGGAAAACAAAAACCUGGACAAUCAUCACCAAUGAGUCAAAAAAACAAAAACAGCACAAAGAAAAAGUGCAAGUAUAGAAUACUCCCAAAGGGUAUGCUCAUCUAAUGCACAUAUGAUAGUGCAAGGGUACCAUAUUUUCCAAGCCCUAAAGAUAUAUAUCAUGAUAGGCAUUGUUUAUAUGACAUCAUUGCUUUUCGGUGCCAAAGAGGUUUUUUUGUCAUUAUAGCUAACUUGCCUAAUUUCUUUUCUUUUGUUUUCUUCUAUUGAAAGGCUUUCAGACAUGAAACUUCAGGGAAGGUCUAUUACAUGUGAUCUAAAGCAUUACCUGAUGAGAAUGCAUAGGAUCAAAUAACUUAUACAGUUUGUUAAAUGGAAUAAUUCAGUUUACCUUUUGCUAUUUUAAGUUUUUCAGUUUCAUACAUAGACAAGUACAAAAUUAUACGUACAUGUAUAUAGGAACCAAGUAACACUAUUAUAAGCCUGAAAGUAUUACACAAGUGUCAAAUUAAUAAGUAAAGACCUUAAAGUGAUAUGUAAACCAUUUAAUGUGAUGUACAACAUCUAAAGAGCCUCUAUAUAAGAAAUCAUUUAUUUAUUCCUACCAAGUAGCCUAAAAAAUUAUCAGUUUAUAAUUUUUCAAAUGGGUUGCUGUCCGACAAAAACAGAGUGGGUUUCUGAAAUCAACGAUUUUCUUUCAUGUUGCGCUUUUCAAGGUUACAGUCCCAUUACAGAUACACUUAUAUUCAAUGACCUUCAUGUUCAAUUUUAGACAUGUAAAACUCUUAGUACAACCACCUCAGCACCCAGAAGCACAAGAACAAGAAGUAUAAUAAAGUAAUAAUCAGAAUUGCAACCACUAUAACUACUACUAACCUUAACCAUCUCAUGCAUCCUCUCGCCAACAGCUAAAGAAGAUUCACCUGAAGUAUCUGAUAAUAGGGAGAAAAGGUUUUCUAACCAAACAUAUAUAAUUAUGUAAGAAAGUUUGCAGUGAAAAAUAACAAAAUCUAACCUCCAUAGGAACAUGUUUGUAACGGAUAUAGUAUGGAUUUGGGGUCCUUCGGAGGUGAUGAUGCCUCAAUUGCUGAUUCGUGUAUGGAAAAAAUAAUAAUAAAUUAUCAGCCAAAUUCAAUAUAAAAAACACAUCAAUUUUAGUCUCAGAGAGAUUGAUCAAACCUUUCUUGCAAGUCCUCCAUACAUCUUUAAGAGUGACCAAGAGCAAAUCCGACCAGCAUCCUUUGAUUUCCUUUAAAAGAUUAGCAGUAGAAUUCUUGUGCGAAUCCUGUCCGAAAAUGGUUUUCCAUAUCAAAAACAAGCAGAAGAACGUCUGAUCUAACAAUGCACUGUUUCAAGUUGUUAUAAUACAGAACUAAUAUUCAUAUUUCACAGCCUACUGUUUGUUUGCCUUUCCAAGUUUUCCUUGCAUGAAUGAGAACGUUGCAAAAUGAAUGCUAACAUUUUUUUUUAACAAUAUUAGAAACAAAUGAUGAGUUAAAAGUAUAAAAAAAAAAAAAGAAGAAAAUCCAACAAGUAGCAGUAUAUACUAUCACAAACAACUUCUUUACACCUGAGAACCUAAACUAUAACACAUUAUGUAAUGCUCAUUUUCUAAUGCUAGUGUUAAAGGCAUAAAAAAGAGUGUAUCCAGCAUUCGAGAUUUGAUGCUCUAGAAGAGAUCGAUCUGCAGGCAGUUAAAGACCUAGUUUGUUCAGCUAUAACAUUUAGAGUUUUUGCAAGAACUAAGACAGUAGCUUUUUCCUAGAAAUACCAACAUUAAAAACUGUUUAUCGUCUGGAAUUGUCACCCAAUUAGCUACGAGAAACUGACCAAAUUGAUUCUAGUGUUCUUUUGAUUGUCUACUUACCCAGUGAGGCAUCCAAAAAUGUUCUAUAUACUGAAAUUUUUUCGCUACAAAGUGUUUAUCAAUUUUUUUUUCUAAGAUCACAAAAUAUAUUUCAAUUGUCCAUAUUGCAUGUCUGAUGCAUCUGUAAGGAAAUAUCUAUUUUUAACAUCAUCUGAGGUCAUAUAAAUAUAAAAAGAGAAUUUGAUGGCAUCAAAAUCCGGUAUUGCAAUUUCGGUACUAAAAUUGGCUCUCUCUUAAGUAAUCUACAAUAUUGUAACAAAGGCUUUCAAAACAAAAAAAUCAAGAAUAUUUAUGCUUGAUACUUCCUUCGCAAAAUACAGUAAUCAUGUGCAAACAUAAAAGUAAGAUUAAAAAACGAUGUCUUUGAACGUACCUUGAGUCGUUCAAGAUGAACAGCACUAAGUUGUUCCUCGCCAUGAGGCAGCAGCUGCCUCAAAAGCCAACCGCCAACCCAUCGAAUCUCCGCAGAUACAUCAGACCUGCAGAAAAGGCUGACUAACGCAUCAAGCACCUGGAGAACACAACAUAUUCUCAAGUUAGGAAUUGUAACAUUGUCAACUAUAAUCUUGACUUUCUUUGGAUUGAUACACAAAAUUUGCUGUAUCACCAAGCGCUUCCUAAUGUAUGCGCAAAAUACAUGAAUAUUAUGGAACUCUAGCACCAGAGAAUGGGGUAAGUUUUAUAGUGAUUACUACUAAUUUUCUUCAACCAAACUUUCAGCAAGUUGAUCUUCCAGUGCAGCAAAACAAUACAAAGAUUUGGCAUAAAUUCAUGAGGUUCUUCAGCUGAUUUCUGAGAAUCAUAAUCUGUAUGGCUUCUUUUCUCAAAAAAAAAUAAUCUGUAUGGCUUCUAUAUAUCAAACUAUUAAGGAAGAAUAAGAAAGGAGAUAUAUGCAAGGUUAAGGAAAAGAAUCAGAAGGGAGAUAUGCACAAUUAAAAUUCAACCUGAGAACGAUGCACCUCAGGGCUUAUUCGAUGCUCCAUCUGAUGACACAACAGCCCAUAUUCACCCUGCAAAGAAAAAUAAAACAUACUUCUAACUUAAAAAACAAAUGCCUCUAGUAUUAGCGGACAAACUCAGUAUCCUCUAGUAUUAGCAGACAAACUCCGUAUCCAUGGUGACUUAUAGCUUGUGAACAAUGAAACUGAACACGCGCACCAGACUGUUUAUAACAUCAAACAGAAUCCAGCUAAAGAAACAAGAAAAGCAGGAUGACGAAACUGGAAAACUAGUUCUUUUCCAUAUAUCACAUGAGGCAAAUAGGAAGAAAUCCACCCAUAUAGUUAAAAGAUGCGAAGGGUUAUUUGGAAAGGUCGACAAGUCGCUUUUCAUACCUCUAUUUUCUUCAGGUAGCUAUCAAGGUCGCCACAAAUGUCAUCCUUUGUUGCACUUCUCUCAGUGGCAAAUAGCUGUUCUUCAGCUGAAUCUUCACCAACCAAAGCUUGCUGCCAAAACACAACAAAAUCAUUUUCUUAAAUCUCAAUAUAGCAACAGCAGAACACACUUUUCUACAAAGGGGCCAUACCACAUAAAAAAGACACAAUAAUUGAAGAGAUUAGUGCAUGUUCAUGGUGCAUAUAAGUUGAAUUCUUUAGAAAACAAAACAAAGAUUCAUCCUUCCUGCUCUAGAAACAAGGAUUUGUUUCACGCUCGAAAGAUUAUCCAAAAAAAUAAAUGAAGAUGAAAUAUGAAAGGAAGUCCAGACGGAGUGUGUUGUAAUCCACUUAAUUGCGUGAAGACAGCUAGGCAUACCACCAACAUUUUCUGAGACUAACUAUUAUUACUAUCAAAGAGACAUCUAUUCACUACAGCUAUUUUACCCUCCAUUAGUUGGAAUUUUGUUUUACUCAGAUUUGAGUUAACUUUGUACAGGUGAUUUUUGACAAGCACAACCAAAUUUAUUAUUUGAGGCUGAAUUUGCCAUGAUUUAAAUUCCAAGGGACAAAAGAGUAUAUAAAUAAGUUUUAGUCAAUGUAGUUGAUUCAGUUAUGCAUGCAAUUUUAUCUACCCUGUUUGUUGUUUCUCAAGGCACAAUAAUGCACAUUAUCUGUCCUCUUUUUGCUAAUAAAUAUUGCCAAAGUGUUAGGCCUUGUUUGGCUAAUAUUUGUCAUUCUGUUUUCUUUUAUUUUUUUUUAACUUAAACUCAUGAAAUUGAAUUGACCAGCAGAUCAUGGAUUGUUUGCAAUUUAUACAUCUAUGGGGUCUGUUUGGGAAUAAAAAACAAAAACUUAGGCUCUGAUUGCAGGCAAACUGUGUUUACAUCUGAUAAGCAAAUGCAACAGGAAAAAAUUCCAUUUGUUUCCAUAAAUGAUACCAUGUCACACAGAUUGCACUUGUUCAGUGGGUAAGAUAUUAUUUCUGUGGUCCCACCAAAAGACAGAGAAGUAUAUCUUUACAUGCUUUGGCCACAAUUCGUUUUUGCCCGACAGUAUUAAGCAGGCCCUCAAUAACAAACGGGCCCCUAGAAGUAGCUUGUUUUGCAGUUUUUUUAAGAGAUUUGCAUGCUAACCCACAAUAACAAAAAAAAAAAAGAAAAGCCCAUUCACUGGUGAAUUCACUCACAAGUCACAACACAAAUCGCAGUUUGACAAAAAAAAAAAAAAAAAGCUGACCAAACAAGGCCCUAACCUAUGUUUCCGUAAAAUAACAUGGAGGUUAUAGUGCAGUUUCAUGCCUAUUGCAUGAGCACAGGAAAAGUGAUAUAAAAGAAAACUAUCAAAUAAGAAGUUGAUAGUGGUGCAAUGUUCCAAUAUCCAAUACAAACCAGGAACCCAUGAUGCUAGAGAAAUCCAUUUAAUUUAUUGUAACUAACCAAUAAUAUUGCUUGCUAUACAGGCAUUAAGGAAAAAAUUCUUAAGAUAAUUUUGAUCAAUAAUGGCCUAUCAAAAUACAAAACUGAAAGCAUAAGCAUUAUAAUAUCAAUCAAGAGAGUUCAGUUAUGAUAGCAACUUGAUAUUCUAAAAGGAGAAAAUUAGAGAAACUUUAAAGGUAUCCAUAAUAGGCCUAAAAACUAGAGUCAAAAUGUAGAGCCACAAGGGCAUCAGCAAAACUUACAAGCAGGAGCCUUUUGUGCUGCUUUCUUUGAGGAAGAAUUCCAAGUGCAUCUAGCAUCGAUUCAUCGAGUUCUACAAAAACUGAUAUAUACUUCAGUAAUUAACAGAUUUGGCUAGAUAUGCAGUAUGGGCAAAAAAACAAUAAUAAUGUUCCUUGACCUUUUGUCUGCAACAAGGUAGCAAGAAAACUCAAGGAACCUAAUACUUGCAAGUCAUCUCCAGCAGUUAUAUAUGAUAGCAGGACUUCCCUGGAAUACAGAAAUAUGCAUCUUAAUCUAAUCAGUCGGUAAGGCCUUAAUUAUCCACGAAUUUUGCCUUCAAUAAUGGAAAAAAAGGAUUAUAAUUUCUUUGAUCAUUUAACUUGUAGAUGAAUUUGAUGCAUUGACACAUUAAGGUUUUGUUUAACUAUACCAUCUGUUUUCCUCUGUUUUCUUAAACUCAAAUUCUAUGCAACCGAAUGCCCGAGCAAAUGGAUUUGCGCACUAAAGGGAUACUUGAAAGACACAUGAGAAUUGCUUGCAGAAUACAAGACACAGUUCUUUUGGGUCUAAUAGGCACUAAAUCAUCGUUAAGCAGUCUGGAUCCAAAAACUUAUGCAUUUGGAUGGCACUUACAUCAUAGAUUCAUGGUUGAUAAAACCCAAGAGUAAUGCUGGUCUGCUGAUUUUGUUUCUUGAUGAAUUUGUGGGAUCCUAAGAUAUUCAGAAUUUACCCUAUAGCCAUAUCCAUAUUGUAGUGUAUCUGAAGCCCAUAUCCUUAUCUAUGCAACAUCGUCAGUCAAAUAGAAUUGAGUUUAAGAAAUCAAAAAGGGAAAAUGUGGAUUCUGGAGCGUAACCAAACAAGAUCUAAAUUUCUAAGUUUGUUUCCUUUUGUAUUCUAGCAACAAAAAAAAAAAACUACUUGCUGCAUAAUAAAAAUUAUCUUAUCACCUAAGCAUGACUGGUUCACCAAAAUCAUUUUGACAAAAUGAGGAAAGGGGUCACAAUUCAUUCAUGCAUGAAGAAGAACACUUCAAGAGUUUUGCCCUUGCAGGUAUCUCGUUAAGAGAAAUACCUCAAUGAAUGACAUGAACUGCAACCACUUUGAGAAGAAUGAUUGGGUAAACAUGAGGAGCCAGAAGGUUCUAGCACAGAAACUCCUGAAUCGUCUGCUUUCACGUGAGCACCAACAGAACAGCCAUUUGGCCUCGCUUGAAAGUUUGAACCAAACAAUUUUCUUGGACAGAAAAGGGUAGCAGCAAUAGUAUUUGCCAAGUCCUUGCUCUUAAAAAUGUGUAGUAUACAACAAAGCAAGUAUAAGGAAGUAGCGAUGCCUAUGUCUCCACCCUGGAGCAGCAAUAAUCAGAUAAAAAAGGACAGGAGAAGUUGUCCAGAAAAUUAAUUACGGGGAAAAUAAAGGGAAAAAUAUAGAUAAUACCCCCAGUAAUCAAAAUCGACAGAUAAAUCCCUUGGUAAAAUGUAAGCACUUACGCACUUCAACAAUUGGAUUGACUACAGGAUUCUAUAACAAAUUGAGGGUUUUAUCUGUAAUUGUGAUUGCCAAGGGGUAAAGUGCAAAUCACAACAUAUAGGAGCAUUAUGUGCAUUUUUGCAAAACUCAAUAACGCUUACGUUGCUACAUCUGUCCAGCGAAGGCAGAAGCAAUGGAAACACCAAAAACUGCAGUAUAUUGUCAGUUAUUAAUCUUCCAAGAUCUGGUACCCCAGCCGAUAUAACAUCACUAAAAUAGUAUAAGUUAUCUUCAAUCUCUUCCACUGCAGUAAGAAUGGAGGAGGUUGAAUCGGAGGAGUCUGGAUUCCUGCCAAAAAGGUACUAUUGUUAGAAAUGACAAGAUUUAUGGAAGUCGGUAAAAAAUAAAUGACAACUGGAGAGGUAUUUAAGGAUGAGGAAAUUAUCGUUCAGUACAGAUAAGAAUAGAAAAUUGCAAAUCACAGGCACAUGAAAAAUGUAUUACUAGCUGGCUCACCUAAGCUUGGCCUGACUAAUGAGAAAAAAAGAAAAUUAUUAGACCAGAAAGAGGACUGGCCAGCAUUUGGAGUAUUAUAUAUAAUAAAUAAUCCUGUCACAUAUUAAGACAAAAUUCAAAAUAUGUAAUUUAUAGUUUCCCGUGUUCAAUUGAGAAUUAUCAUUCAACUAAGAUGUAAGAAGUUGCCAAAAUGAUUCCAACAAGAGAUAUGGCCAUCAAACCUAGCAAUUUCGGCAGCCAACUUGUCCAAGUUGAUGCACUGCUUUUGAAAAUAUUUGACCAUAUUUGCAAAGAAUUCUGAUAGCGGGACACGUGAAACAUAUUUGUUAACAGAUUCAUCUCCAACUGAAAAGGGAAAAACAAAAAGAAGUGUUAGGACAAGUGACCAUACAUAGAUGAAAAAUAAAGGCAGAAUGGUACAUAAUAACAAGGAAUUGAGACCUUACCAACUUACCGUGAUAGACAUUAAGUGUUAAUGCACGCACAGCAAUUCGAAUCAUAGUUUCCUCAUGAAAAGCAAAUCGUAUGGCUUCAACAUAAAGCGGAAAUGAAACAACAUCCUCCUAUAUGAAGGUUAAAAAAAAGUAUUACAAAAAAAUAAUAAUAACAAAACAUUCAAAUAAAUCAUGACUAGCCAGUUAAAACAUCUUAUGACAUGAAGUUCAUCAAAUGAGUUACAUAUCAAGCUCAUGACUAAGUUUCUUUUUAGAAGAUCAGAUGUUUCGAAGUUUCUUACAAUAAUGAUCAAGUAGCUUAUGUGGACAAAAUAAUGAAGAACAUUUGAGAGCAUUUACAGGUAUUCACAGUGAGAAGCUGAGUGAUGAUGAAAUGAUCUAGCAUCUUAGAACAAGCAAGGUGAACAGAUGAUCUAUCAUCUUACUAAAGCAAAUAAAAUGCAAUGUGUACAGAUUCUGAAUAAUAAAUAACACAUAAAAGGUAGUUUCUUGGUGCUUCAAAGUAUAUUUAUGCAAUACUUGUAGAUAAUCUUAAGAAAAUUUCUUUAACAAUAAUACAUAUUGUCGGAUUGUUGGCUCUAACCAUUAAUCCCAAAAGCUCGAGCUGUUAGAAACACGCAACCAAUUCACUUAAAGCGUACAGAUACAGCGCCCAGGGGGUCUUGAUUGUGACUCGGCCCAAUCAGCCUCACGCCACUUCGGACAUGACUCGGCCCAACCCAGCCUCACGCUAUUUCGAACGCGACUUGGCCCAACAUGGCCUCCCGGCACAGGGCAGAAUACUGGCCUAUUUAAGCCAACACAUAUCUACGUCGCAUUGUAGUGUUAUAUGAUAUGAUCUCCUAGAAUUAUACACUAUCAGAAGGAGAUAUAGAACUUAAGCAGCCAUAUUAUUUAGUUCAAUGAAUGUGAUUCUCUGGAAACAACUGCAAUUUAACAGGCCACUACUAAAUGAAGUCAAUCAUCUCCACAAACUUUUAAAACUACGAGAAAAUUUAGCAUGUGAAAAUAGAGGAUAUUGUGUCAUGUUCAUUAAAGAGUCUGAAUAUAAUCACUCAGCAUUUUGAAUUAUACCUUAUAAAUCUUGCAAUGGCGGGAGAUGCAUGCCUUGGCAUACACACUUAGAGAAUCCAACAUGAAUGCGUAUGAAAUUAUCUAAUAGAUGUAGGAAAAUUCAUGUAAUUCUAAAACAAUACUACUAAUCACUUCAGCAUUCUGAAUCACCAUCUUCAAAGGAAAGGCUGGCCUACCUUUGAAACUCGGACAAGCAAAUAUUAAAAAGUCUCACACUACUGAAAAAAUCAGUAAAUCACAGCAUUAUGGCACACUGCUGAUUAUACACUUCAACAUAAUGAAUGUUGCCAAAGUGCAUAACGAAUACUAUCCAUACAUGUACUUUUAUGCAUAUGGGCACUUAUACAUGAGCAGUAUAAAGAUCAGCUGGUAAUACAUAACCAAAAUAUUGAAAAAGAAAAAUAAGGUAAAGUAAAUCCUCCUAGUAGCACAAUAGGAGAUGAGAUUCAUACUUUUUCUGUCUUCACAAGCAGUGAGAUCGUAUUCUUGUUCAACUUUCCACUUAUUGCCCUUCCAGAUACAAGGGAAAUGGAACAACAUAAACAAUUAAUAACAAAAGUCAAAUAUACUGAAUAGAUAACAUGGUAAAUAGAGGCAAUUACCCACCGUAAAAAAGAUAUGUAGUAUGACAGCAAUUCUUCAUUUCGGAAGUCAAAAGAAUAUGUUAUAAUGUAGUUAAUGUGUUCGUUGCUGAAAAUAUAGUCUGCGAAACACAUGAUGAUUUGAUUAAUUAGACCACGUACUACGAAUGUGGUAUGACACAAAUUCAUUUAACCAUUGCAUAAGGUCAUUUAACCAUCACACCACUUACAAAUCGCAUGUUCGCUUCUCAAAUUCUGGAUCAUAAUGCUCAUAGUCUGUAACAACUGAAGUGCAACUUUGAGUGGUUUGCUAAUCCUUAAUAUACGUGCAAAUUCACCCAUAAUAUGCUUCUCCAUGAAGAACCUAAAAAUAGAUAAGUGUAAUAAGACAAAUAAAACCACCAAUAGCAUUUAGGGAAACAAAACCGCUAAAAUACUCACUCAAAAAAUGAUGGAUCAUGCUGGUCACCAUAUGUCAGCAGCUCCGCAAUCGACCUCAGUGCUUCAAUGACAAAAUCCUUCAUGACCAUCAUUAACAGGUAAAACCUCCAUAAAAAAAUUCAAUUACCGAACUUAUUUCAGAUGAGUAAUUACCUCGUUAACUUCAUUUACAACUUGAAUCUUUUGCAGCUGAUCUGUUAAAUAUCUGCACAAGAUGAGCUUAGAUUAGCAUCACAUAGACAGAAAAAGUACAUAUGAGUGACAAGGUUGCUGGAAGCAAAAAGGUCUUAGCUUGAUGAGCGCUAAAAUAAUUGAGUAAAUCAUAUUCUAGCAAGAAAAGCAUACAAACAAAUCCUCAGCGCUUCGCAUUCAAUUUUGUAAUUAAACUUUUAAUCCCAAGUAAAACAGUAGAAAACAGUUUUCAAGACAAAAAAAGAUUUCCCAACAAAAUGGGCAUUCACUUUUUCUAGCGUUCAGUUCGCAGAAAUAAAGGAAAAGAAUUGUUUUCUGGGAAAUGCCAAUUUGUUUUGAAAGAAAAGAAAAACGAACAUCCAGAAGUAAACCCCCCAUUAAGAAAGUAACCUGUGGUUCUCGUUCUUGUUUUUCCAAGCUUACGUGAAGGGCCAUUUGUCCUACAAUAUGUAAAAAAUAUUUUUCUACUGAAAUUAGCCAGCCAAGCACAUGAUAAACUAUUUUCUGAGCCAAAAACAGUUUCCAUGGCCUUUAUCCAUGAAACUAAACAGAUCUUAAAUGAAAACCCUGUCAUAAUAAAGCCAUACUACUUAUAAUAUUCCUUGGUAAGAUGAUGUUAUCUUUCAUUCACUGCUGGGGUUAUUUUUGUGGUAGAACCUUUUUUCAGGGUUUAAAAACUAGCCACAUCCUCUGCUGAAGGCGUUUUUCAUAGUCUCAACCUAUGCAUCCUAAAUUAACCUAAAUAUGCCUUCUCCGAGUUUACCUUUAUAACAAGACAAAGCUUAACCUCCACAUCUCAAUCUCCAUCAAAUUCAACUCCACGCUUAAGAACAGCAUCUUUCUAUACCCAGAUCUUUAUCGCUUUCUCUCCACAAAACCAACAAUUAAAAUUGAAUGCUUGCAUUGACGUCUAUCAAACUGAUCACCAAAGAUUGAUCUCGAAUUGAAACGCUCACUAUUUUUAAUCAAGAUUUCUUUUUAACCAAUGCCCUUCUAAUCAAGAUGCCUACGCCCAAACGAGAAAAAACCAGCAAAAUUAAAUUGGAUUGGCGUCUAUCGAGUUCAUAGGUUAAGAUUCCAUUUACGUACCAAACACAUACAACAAAUCAAUUUUUUCCUGCUCAUAAAAAACCCUUCUGUAUCAUCCAACACCUCUUCAUCUCGCAAUUUCUACACAAUACCAUAAAAGAUGCAACCGAGAUUAACCAAUUCACCAAAGAAAUAAAGAUUUAGGGCAACAAAUUGCAAUAAACCGCUUCUUGAACCGCAUCUUGCACCGAUCCAAAAACCCUAGAGGGACGAAGGGGAGGGGAAAUCGAACGCACCGUAGCUCGUCGAGGGAGAAGCGAUUCCUGGAUCGCCAGAACGAGAACCACAUGGUGAGGGCGACCACAGCCCCGACGCGACCUCAGACCGCGCCGCCGCCCGCGCCCACGCCCACCACCAUCGCCUCCGCCACCCCCGCCGCCUCCGCCCCCGAUCCAGCGAUCGAGGAUCGCCGGUGCGAUCCCUACGAUCUCCCUCUCUCUCUCUCUCUCUCUCUCUCUCUCUCUCUCUCUACGAUCUCCCUCUCUCCGCUCUCUCUCUCCCCCUCUCCCCGCUCUCUCUCUCCCCCUCUCUCUCUCUCCUCGCCUUUUCGUCGUCGGCGAAACAGAUGAUUGUUUUAUUUAUUUAUUUAUUAAUUUAUAUAAUAAAUAUUAUUUUAUUUUAUUAAUUAAUUUAUUAUAGAGGGACCAGGGUGUGUCCCCGUGUGUGUCAUGUGUGUGUGGGAAAGAAUAAGGAGCACGGAACCGCCGAACCGGAUUGAGCCGGACGGGCCGGUUCGAAAUUAACUUGGUCUAUGCAACUCUGGGUCCGGUUCAACUCGAACCCUCCAGGCCUGAUCCAACCCUUCCAAUGGCCCAAAUAAUUUCAAAAAGCCUAUAAUUAUUUUUUAGGUAAUCUUAAUAAAUACUAAAAAUCAAUUCCUAUGGUAUUUGUCAAUUGUAGAUGAGUAAUGCAAAAAAAAUCCAACAUCCACUCAAUAUAACCACAUAUCAAUACCAAACAUAUAUCGGGACUCAUUUGAUAGUAAGAGUCAUCUAACACUAUUAGACGCUUUCACAAUCACAACUGAUGUUAAUGAAAAUAUUUAUAUCUGGUCCUAUGUGAAGUUGAUGUAUUUGAAGUACGUGUAUACCAUAUAUUACUAUAUUCAUAAAAUAAAAUAAAUUAUAUUAAAAGUAUCCUCUAUUUAAAUGAGGAAUACAUAAAAUAUUUUUUGCAAAAAAAGUUUAAUUUCAUGAAGCAAGUGCAGUAUGCUCCCUAGUGUCACGGCCUUAGUGUUUCUGUUCGCAAAGCCCGUGCGACGCUCGCCUUUUUGCUCGAAGAUGGGCAAGCCUUCAUCCCUGUUGCUAGUCUGGAUCUUCGCGUCCUACGACUAAAUAUACAAAGGGAAUGACAGAAAGAGAAAGGCGGAGGUUCACUCAAAAAACUAAAUACUUCACUAUUUGGAAAAAGAGAAUUACAACCUACAAACACAAUCUCUGGUGUCCUUUGGCCUAAGCCAAACCUCACUAUAGAUAGGCUCCUAUAUACAUUGAAUCUAGUCAUCCACUAACUCUCUCAUUAUAACACAUUAACUCACCCUCAUAAUGAGCCAUAAAUCCAAGAGUCACCCCAUAACUUAUGGGAGUUUCAUAACUUUUGAGUUUCCCAUAGCGGGUUUGGUUCGGGUCUCUUUAAUGACCUGCUCCGCUAGCGAAAUUGGGCCACUGUCAAGGAGAAGUCAGCGAAAACUAUUUUGCUCGUGACAUUCUCCCUACCUAAUGUGCAGACGCCCUCGCCGCGCGCCGAGUCGAUCCCAGUCCGCAUAGCAUUCCGCGCAGUUCGUCUCGCCUUCGCGCGCGAUCGGCACCGUGCCUUGCUCCUAAUGUCUCCAUCUGUCCCCGUACCAGCACCAAGUGUCUUGCCCCUCUGAGCAAGUGCACCAGCGAGCCUGCUGUGCGAAGAGUUCGCCGGAUGUGCAUGUCUUCCGCGACACGCACGCGCACUCUGCCAAGCUGCCGAACGCCUCGAGUGUGCAUGUCCUUCGCGACACGCACGCGUACUCCGCCAAGCUGCAGAACGCCUUUUGGUCCUCGUAGGCUCCUUGGCAAAAUGACUUGCACUUUGCUUGGACGCUGGCCGCUCCAGCACCGCAUAAGACUCGAUAGUCUCGCCGGUGCUCAUGUCCUCCUCCUCGAGGUCCCCAGCCUUCUCGCGCUUCACCUUCUCGCAAAGCUGUAGGGCUGUCAGGGUUGAACUCUCGUUGCACCCUUUUGAGUCCCUUGGAUCGCGGUACUCUCCCCCACCUUUGGCCUCGGUCCUCUUUGGUGUUCACCUCGAUCGCCCUCGGUUCGCUCAAGAAGUGCCUCACUCGUCUUGAGGUCCUCAACCUCCUUGACCUGGGCACUGAUGUACUGAAGCAGCACAUCUCGCACAUCCCGCUCGUCAUUGCGAUGGGCAAGAUUCACCUUGAACUACUCCAGACGAUGGCGGAAUGUUGCCAUAGCUGCAAUAACAUCCUUCUCCAUCAAAUGAAACCCCUCCUCCAACAUCCUGACAUGUUGGGAUAGGUCGGAGUAGCACUCCUCCGCUCUCGCAGCAGAGUCCUCCAACACGCCUACGCGGUCGUCAAGCAAGACGGACUCUCUCGCCAGAGUCUGCGGCUCCUUGCUCUUGCCACGCUUGGUCGCCCUGGGCUCAGGCACAACGUCAACGACGGCAACUUCUGCCAAAGACAUGGUUCCUCCUCGAACUGGCUCUGAUACCAACUAUCACGGCCUUAGCAUUUCUGUUCGCAAAGCCCGUGCGGCGCCCGCCUUCUUGCUCGAAGAUAGGCAAGCCUUCAUCCCUAUUGCUAGUUCGGACCUUCGCGUCCUACGACUAAGUAUGCAAAGGGAAUGACAGAGAGAAAGAGAGGCAGAGGUUCACUCAAAAAACUAAAUACUCCACCACUUAGAAAAAGAGAAUUACAACCUACAAACACAAUUUCUCGUGUCCUUUGGCCUAAGCCAAACCUCACUAUAGAUAGGCUCCUGGAUACAUUGAAUUUAGCCAUCCACUAAUUCUCUCAUUAUAACACAUUAACUCACCCUCAUAAUGAGCCAUAAGUCCAAGAGUCAUCCCAUAACUCAUGGGAGUUUCAUAACCCUUGAGUUUCCCAUAGCGGGUUGAGUUUGGGUCUCUUUAACGAUCCGCUCCACUAGCGAAAUUAGGCCACUGUCAAGGAGAAGUCAGCGAAAAAUAUUUCGCCUGUGACAUUAGGCUCCAAAAUUGCUCCUAAUUGCGUCUCUUUUUUUUUAUUUUCUAGUGAGAUUACGUAAAUCAUGUCUUGCUCGAUUUGGUGCAAAUAUUUUCAACGGAGCUUAGCCGAAUACUUUUUUAUUGUGCAUUUUCACUCUGUCCGGCGUAAUGCAUUUGGCCUACAAUUCCACAAAUAAAUAUGAGUAAACCAGCUAGUUUUUGCUUUUAUAGCAUUUUUUUUUUAUAAAUAAUCAUUUGAAUUUCAACAAUAAAAUAAAGUUAAACGAAGCGGGUAGCGUGCUACUUAUCUCUUAAAAAAAAAAAUUAAAAACUAUCAUAAAAAUACAGUACAUUUGGCUAUUAAAUACACCAUAUAAAAAUUAAGCAGGAAAAAACAGACACGUAACUUAAAAAUAUUUUAAGGCAUAUAAUUACAUAUAUUAUUUAAAAAAUCACGUAUUUAUAUAAGUAUAGUCUUGACAUUCCGUGGGCUUGUUUAUUAAAAAAAAGAAAAAAAAAAGAGAGUAUAUCUUACAGUAUAUCAGCAACAAAUCAACGGUCGUGAUAAUUUCAAAAUGUUACCCAGAAUUUUUCAAUUUAAACGCGUAAAUAUUACCGUUUGUGAGGCUGACACGCGCCUUCAUAAGAGGGCCCCACAUACAUACACACUCCGAGUCACGUGAUCGCCAAAAUAACGUAAAAUUACUUAUAUACCCCUCCGAUCUCAUCAUCUCCUCCUCCGCCCCCUUUCUUUCUAUGAUCACUAGGGUUUCCUCGAACUCUCUUUGUUUCUUCGAAACUUCUCUCUCUCUCUAUCUCUCUCUCUCUCUCUCUCCGUUCCUAGAGUUUCCGCCUCUUCGAUCCAUCGCUAGGGUUUUGGAGCGCCUUUGACCGUGGUCGCCAUGGCGGAGGUCAUCGACAUGCCCGCCGAAACCCUAGAUCGCCGCCGUGACCGCCAGGGGGAGCAGCGGGACAGCCCCGGAGACGGAUCGCCGCUGCCUCCGCCGCCGCCGCCGCUGCCCCCGCCGCCGAGGAAGAGGGAGAGGGACCCGAAGGAGGGGCGCGAUGAGAGGGACGAACGCGGCCCCGGACGCAGGGAGGAUUACAACGACGCUCGGAACCGGUCGCCGCCGCCGCCGCCGCCGCCGCCGAUGGGGCCAUCGCGGGGGGAGAGGGAGCGGGACUAUCGGCGGCGGAGCACCCCAAGCCCGCCGCCCUACGGCUACAGGGAUCGGCGCCACUCCCCUCCGCCACGGCGGUCGCCGCCUUAUAAGCGGUCGAGGAGAGAUGAUGGGGGAUACGACCGGCGCAGGGGUAGUCCGAGAGGAGGUUAUGAUGACAGAAGGUGUGGGAAGAAUCAUUAUUUUCUUUUCGUUGCUCUUACCUUCCCAUAUCAAAUUGUUAAUCCUGGAUGGAAAAGAUGAUUUGGUGUAGAUUUUGAUACUAUAUUUUGGAACAUUAGGUAAAAUACUAUCUUUCAUGAGGUUACUUAUCAAUCUGAUCGUCCGUUUAUAGGUAUGGAUAUGAUUAUGGUGGCAGAGGUGGCUACGGCGAGGAAAGAGGUUAUGGCCGGUACAUGGGUCGGGCAUCAGGUAGUUAUUAUUCCAUUAUAUAUGCGUAUCAUAACAAUGCUUACUGUUGCGGGCACUUUGAAUAUGUGACCGUUGUCCUCAUCAUCAAUCCAUGGCUUGACCUGGCUACAAAUUUGAAUCACUUGUAUUUUGGCGUUUUAUCAAUAGGUCAUCUUUGUGGCCGGAACUUUAUAAUUCCUUAUAGUAAUCAAAGAAAUUCAAAGAUUCUAACAUGAAAGCACGCGAUUAGCAAUAAUUAGCAUCUUAUCUUAACUAAAGGAGAGUUGCUUUUCGCUCAUUGCUAAACUUGUUAAACAGGCAUGCAAGAUCUUCAAGCCGGUAUAUUUAACUGAUAUUGAUGAACGAUUUGAAUUUGCCAGCGGGUCAUGGAAUAUGAAAAUUUGGUUCUAUAGGUUUUCAUAAUUCGUCUUGACUCUACAAUGUGAGGAUUACACUGGCCACUAUCUUUGGAGAGGGUUAAGUUCUUAAAUUGCAAUAUUGGAACAUUUUAUUUGGUGUAAACUUACUACCUUGAAAAAGAUUCUAAUGUGCAUUUUAUUCCUGAAAAGAAUUUGAAUGAAAAUUUUGAUUGUUGGUUAAUAUUCCUAGAGCUGGAUAAAAACAUUGCUGAAAAUUUUGUUUGUGCUAUAAAUAUCUAUCACCAAUGACUUUAGAAAAAUUAGUGGCAAUAAGAUUCCAGGUUAUUUACAACACUAAUGCUUUGUUCUUUGUUGCUAGGCAUGAUGCGUUGUGCUAAGAGCUUUAAACUAAUUAGCAAAAGACAGGACGUUGUUUAGAUUGAAGGGAGUAUUUACAUGUUAAAUGGGAAGUCUUUAGAUUGAUGAUGGAGUUUCUACGCAAUAUUUGGGUGGUUUAAAAUUAUCUGAAUCGUCAAAUAUUUUCUAGUAUUAAAUGUGUAGAUGUGUGACCAAACUAUGUUUUUAUAACUCAACAUUUGUUCGUUCAAAUUAUCUUUACAGUGUUUUUAAAAUGUUUUCAGAUUGGCCUGAGGGCGGACAUGGCGAUUUUGGCGAUGGCCCAGGGCUCGCUCAAAGGUUUGUACAUUGCUGCCCAUAAUCUCAUGCAACUCUUAUCCGCCUGUCUGAUUGUUUCAUAUGAUACAGUGGUCUUAACUUAAUAUUUUCUGCCUUUUUUCCUGGAGUUUUCUAAUGGCUAAAUUAUGUUUAGCAAUAUUUGUUUAGAGACUGAUUCUGUUUGUUUAUUUUAGGAACUUAUGUGAAAUAGAUGAUAUUUCUGAAUGAUGUUGUUAAACCAUUUUUGGUGUAAUUCUCUUGUUUGCCACUAUUAUUGCUCGAUAAAGUUGUUACAAUGCUGCCUGGGCCUCCACUUAUUUGACUCAUUUCCUCCCUGUGCCUCGCUUCUGUGGACUACCUCUUAGAUUUUAUGUGGUCUUAUUGCAAAGGAUGGAAGCUAAAAAUUACAACCUUGCCAAAUUGGUCUUUGGAUCUUAUGUUGACAAAUCAGCAGAUACUUUAAACAACUUUGGCUUGUUCGAGACCCUUCUUAUUAGCUUGUCAUGCCAAUUAUGGUAAUGUUGAACUUAAUCACAAAUAAUAAGAAUAAGAGGAGUAAAAAAAUAUUAGAUAAAUGUGACAAAUCGAGAAAGAUAGAAAGCUAGUCGAUACGCCCUUUAUAAAGUUAUUCUUGACUUUUGAAGUUGCCCAUGAUUUGUGGAACUUUUAGGUUGAAUGAUAUGAGUCUACAAGCAACUUUCGAGUGGCAUAUCUUUUUACUUCGUUUCAAGUAUAUUGUAUUGGUAUAUUUAAAGUCUUCACUUAACGGAAUUAAUAGUUGCAAAGAUGAUACAGAAUUUUAUUUGAUAUCUUUGCCAUCGAUAUCUUCUCCAUUUUAAGUGGCAUAAUUUAUGCUGUGGACAUUUUCCCAUUUUCCAUUUGAACCACUGAUAGUAUUGUGUUGUUUGCAGUUCUUUCUACAAAAAAAUGUAGUCCAAUGCUCUUCCUUUUUUUUUUUUUUUUUCCACUUCCUCUUUCUUUGGAGUUUGCUUAAUUGGUUACCAUGGUUUGUGAUGAUUUUUUUCUUAACCAAUUAGUUUUUUGGUUUGGAAGUACUCUGGACUUCUUCCAUUUUGCCACUAAGACUUUUAAAAUCAGUUAAUGUGUGCUUCGUAUGUUGUGAACUGAAACCCUUUCAGGGAAGGCUUGAUGUCGUAUAAGCAAUUCAUUCAAGAGCUUGAAGAUGACGUUUCUCCAGCUGAAUCCCUACGCAGGUAAAAUGAAGCGGUCUGCAGUUUUAGUAUAUUUUCUACGUGCUUUAUUUUGUAUUGUCUUGAAUAGCAUGACUGUUUUUGCUGUGAGAUAUUUACAUAUAUUCCCCUGCAAAAUCAUCUAUAAUAAUGCAUCUCCCUGCAAAAUCUGAAUUCUCAAAUAUAGCAACCAAACUUCUUGCAUAUAGACCAUCAUACUUUACAAUGAUGCCCCUCUUUAGAGAACAAUGGUUUUAAUGCAAAACCAGCAUUGACUUGAGAUGAGGCAUUUUUCCGUAAGAAGCUGCUUUUUGAGGGGUAUAUAUGUACAUCCAGAUUUUAUAGUGGUAUCCACGUCAAUUGUGUGAUUUUGUAGGUAUGAGGAAUACAAGACGGAGUACAUUACAACUCAGAAACGUGCUUAUUUCGACCUUCAUAAGGAGGAGGAUUGGUACAACUGUUUUUUCUGGCUUUCUUUUCUUUCUGAUUGUUUUAUUUCCCCCUUUCAAAUGGCUUCGAAUUCUUAAAGAAUUAAUUCUGUUUGCUCUUCCUGUAGGCUGAAGGAUAAGUAUCAUCCAACUAACUUAGUGGCUGUUAUUGAAAAGUGAGUAGCUGGCUCACCUGUUUCAAUUGUAGACUAGUAAUUUGGAGAAUUCCCUGGUCAUUUUUCUGUUAUCCAGACCAGGUCACUUUUCUUGACCAAUAACUACCUUUUGUACACAAUAUAUUCAUCUUGACACAUAGUAUGCUUCCUCCUAUAUGUGUUAUUCUAUGCUUGAAUAGUUGAAUGUAUUUGCACCUUAUUCCUUUUAUCUGGUACUUUCGCUGAUUUUUCCUAUUAAUCAUUUUCUCUUAUAGGCGGAACGAACAAGCUAGGUCCACUGCAAAGGAAUUCUUUCUAGAUUUACAGAGUGGAACUCUAGAUCUGUGAGUUUCUUUCUUUUAUUUUCCUCCCAUUAUUCUAAAUCGUAACUGCCAUUCAAUUCUUAUUUUCCCCACUUAUGGCAUGCAGUGGCCCAGGAUUAACUGCCACGUCAGCAUCCAAAUCAGGGAAUGCCAGCGAUGCAAACUCUGAGGAUGAAACAGACUUAAGUAGCAAGAGGAGAAGGCAUGGAAGGGGGGCCACAAAAGACAAUGAUCUACUCUUUUCAGCUCCCAAGGCUCACCCAGUUAGUUCUGACCCUCGACGAAUUCAAAUCGACAUAGAACAAGCUCAAGCACUUGUACGCAAGCUCGAUAGUGAAAAGGGUAUUGAGGAUAACAUUCUAUCAUCUACCGAUCGCGACAAAUCUGAUGGCGACAAAUCACAUAGUGGAUCGAUGGGCCCCCUUAUUAUAAUCCGGGGCUUGACUACCGUGAAGGGUCUUGAAGGUGUCGAGCUCUUGGACACUCUUCUUACUUAUUUGUGGCGUGUCCAUGGUGUUAAUUAUUAUGGCAUGUCUGAGAGCAAUGAAGCCAAAGGCCUUCGACAUGUGAGAGGAGAUAGUAAGACUUCUGACGGGUCUAAUAAUACAAGUGGGGCUGAUUGGGAGAAGAAGCUUGAUUCUUUCUGGCAGGAGAGAAUGAACGGUCGGGAUCCAUUGGAGACUUUGGCAGCAAAGGAUAAGAUUGACGCGGCGGCUGUUGAAGUGCUAGAUCCAUAUGUAAGGAAAAUAAGGGAUGAAAAAUAUGGUUGGAAGUAUGGUUGUGGAGCCAAGGGAUGCACAAAGCUUUUUCAUGCUCCUGAGUUUGUUCAUAAGCAUCUCAGACUGAAGCACCCGGAGCUUGUUAUGGAGCUGACCUCGAAAGUGAGAGAGGAUCUCUAUUUCCAGAAUUAUAUGAAGUAUGUAUUCCUAUUCAUUUCUUUUAAGGUAAAUAUGUAGUGAGGACCCUCAAUGGUAUGCUAUUCUGAAAUAGGCCCCAAAACCUUCACUUUUCCUGAUUGACAAUCCAUCAUCUUUUGCUUGUUUUGCUUUUAGUGCUAUCAGUUGAAUUGGGGAUUCCGUUAAAGUCAAUGGCUUCAUUAGCUAUUAGCCAUCAAAUGUUGAUGGAAUUGAAUCACCAGUAAAUUUUGGGGUUGAUAACAAGAACAUAUUAGAGUUUCUAUAUCGAUAUGUUCUAUAGUUGAUGGGGGUUCUAAUGUACAUUUUUACUAUCUUUUAACCAGAAGAAUUAUAUGAUUUGAGCAUGUUCUCUGAACUGUAAAUGUCUAUUCUUUUCUUUUAUUAUUGCAGCGAUCCGAAUGCGCCUGGCGGAACACCUGUGAUGCAGCAAUCUGGUCCGGUAGGAAUCUUUCUUUUGGCUUGUGUGCAUAUGAUUUUUACCAGUCUGUCCAUUAGAAUGGAAUAUGCAAUGCUGUUGUGCUUGAACUAAGUGGGAAAUUUAUCACUUGUUAGCAUAAAAAGAUUAAGUGAUCCAUCUAUUCUUCGGUACUUUAUUACCUUUUAUACCUGCUUGAUGAUCAUUAUAAUUAUCAACGCAGGAUGUAAUUCGUUUUUGUCUCUGUUUUUCAAGAACUUGAUUACAGAUGUAUCUUGCGGUUUCCAUGGUAUAUGAUUUACUUUUUCCUUUCUUUUUUUUUCUUUUUUCAGGGGUUUCAGAGGGAUAGAAUUAGAAGAAGGGGACCUUUAGAUGGUCGCCUUAGAGAUGAACGGGGCAAUCGCAGAGAUUAUGACAGGGCUGACAGAGAUGGUGAUAGGCAUGAUAGGAUGGAUAACUCCCCGACACGUGAUGCCAAUGGUGGAUCCGAAAGGGAUAAUCCGAAUGAGCCGAUCUUUGAUGCUUAUGGUGGGCCAGGUUUGCGUGGCAAUCCUUUUACUGCGGAUAUUCCACCUCCUGGACUACUGAUGCCUGUGCCUGGUGCUGGGUACUCUCUCUCUCUCUCUCUCUCUCUCUCUCUCUCGCUCUCUCUCUCUCUUCNAGGGCAGAGACUGAGACGAGUCUGUCCUCAUGUCUGUUAGCUGCAGCCACUGAGUUAUUUAUUAGCAUCCGUACUCUCUCGCUCUCUCUCUCUCUUCACACACGCGCGCGUGUGGAGUGAGUCAAGCUAGAAUGCUUUUCAAUGGCACUAGGGUGAUUGGUGUUUCCACUUUUCCAUAUGUUGGAAAUGUUUGGUCAUUCAUGUGCAAACCUGAUGAGCUCCAAUAUAUAUGCACAUCGCAUGAACAUGCAUCUUGAACCUAGCACGUGUGGAUCACAAAGCACAUCUGAUUUGCGAAAAUAAACCUUCCGAUCGAUGCUUCUGCUUUUCGCGCCUUGUAUUGGUUUUUAGAUUUUCUGGGAAUCUUGUGGUGCAUCAGUUGAGUGCAUAUCUUCAGGCUGAUGUGUGUGGAUCUUGAGGUGCAUCACUUGAGUGUGCAUCUUGAGGCUGCCGCAUAUGGAUCUCAAAGCUGAUCUGGUGCGUGAAAAAGCAGAUGCACCGGCCGCAUCCAAGGGCAUUCAUGCUUAGUCCUAUUGAAUCUAUUGAUAGACAUCUUAUUGUCCUUAUGUCUUUUCUUUUUCUUUUCCUUGUAGCCCACUGGGCCCUUUUGUUCCUGCCCCACCUGAAAUGGCAAUGCGGAUGAUGAGGGAUCAAGGUGGUGGACCGAUUUACGAAGGAAAUAGUGGUCCUCGUGGUAGGAAAGGGAGGCUUGGCCCUCCUGUUGGUGCUUCAGCACCACUUCUUGCUGUUCCUCCGGCCUUCCAACACGAUCCUCGCCGUAUACGAAGGUUCUGCUUUUAUAUACACACACACAUACAUAUACCCUAAGUUUUGAUUUCAUUUUGCUAAUCAUUCUUUUGUUCAUUAAUUCUUAAGCAAAUCAUUUCUGUCAUUGUGCUGCUGUCUUGUUUGUACUGUUAAGAAAAUGCCUUUCUUUAGCUUGUAACUGAUGAUCUCUUUUUAUAGUUAAGUUGAAUUAUCUACUGUUUACUGGUACCUUUGGGGUAUCUCCUUGUUUUGCUUGGAGCCCCUAAUUGGGUUUUACAUCUUUGGACCAAAAUUUCUUUUUAUUGACUGUAAUGCCCCUGGGCAACCAUGCUAUGCAUUUUGCAUUAGAGUUGUAGGCCAGAGGCAUUUUGGUUUGACAAAAGAAUAUUUCAGCACAAUUUUGGGGAAAUGAGAACCUGAACCGAAUAUGCAGCAAAUACAAGAAAAUUUGUGACUUCCAAUGCAAAAUGGCCUUCUCUUUGUGACACCUCUGCUUUAUUCCUGUUGCCAUUGCAGCUACCAAGACCUUGACGCCCCCGAGGAUGAAGUCACUGUAAUCGACUACAGGAGCUUAUAGGUGCCCUUUUCUGAUAUUUGAUCAGACUCACGAGCAUGAUCUUUGAAGCAAACCAGAUGGGCGGGCUAAGUUUGCCUUGGGAGCUUACCGACGUGUUUAAAUUGUACAAUAGCUGCUCGGGAAGAGGACUUGUUAUUACUCUUUUAUUCUGUGGCAAGCCAAAAGAGAGGAGACAUUAGACUGUGCCCAUGUUGAGUUGAAUAUAUUGUUUGUACAUCGCAGUUGUGGGUAUAUUUCUUCUGUUUCAUCUUUUGAUUUAUAAUCUAGUGGUUUCAGCGUCAGUUUUAAACCGUUUUAAACCGGAGGGAAAUUGUGAUGCCCUUGGCAUUCAGCGACAUUUGUUUUUGUAGAAGAUGUUUAUCUCAGUUCGGUACAUUACUAUAUAUCUAUUUUGAACCAGUUUAAAUCUAUCAUUUACACCAGCACUGUGUAAAUUGAAUAUUUUUAAGGUGGGGAAGUGGACUUAACUAUUGUUGUUUAGGAGAAAGCUGUUUGGUUAAAUAGUUUAUGCUGAUGCGUGUUCAAGUCCACAGCGGCUUCGGAUACAGCUUCUUUACGUCGAGAAGCAUGGACUAGGUGUUUGGCAAACAGAAAAUGUGUGUGGCAGGUGCAAAUUUGAAAGCUCUGGUUUGAAGGUUUCACUAUAGCUUUUUGCUACAGUGAGAAGCUGCUCUUGAGGGUUUUUAGUGGUAUUGUACUGGAAGUCUGGAAGCUGCUCUGAGGAUUUUGAGUUGGUUUGCACUGCUGCAUUCUGCAGCUCUAGUCAAAAGGUACUGCAGGAACUUUGAGGUGCAGGCUUUAUUUUUCUUGUAAGAUGAAAUUCAACUAUUAGAAUAAGACUUGUUCCAUGGAGAGCUAAGUCCAUGACAUUUUGGUACAUUUGAUGGCUGAAAUGCUUAGCCAAGGGGCCAUUUCUCCUGCAUAUUAUCUUGAAAAGAUAUGUAGUAAUCUGGAGACAAAUUAUGAAUGUUCAAAUUUGUGUUAUCUGCCUGUUUUAUUAUUAUUUUCAUUCACCUGUGAUGUGGUUUCCAUCUACUCUGAAAUAAAUAAAAUAGCAAAUAAAGAUGUAGUACAGCAUGUUCCUAAAGUAAUGCUAUUUAUACAUCCGGAAGUGAUUCUAAAUCUUAUAUAUUUUCAUUUUCUAUUGUCCAACUCUGCACGGAGUUUGAAUGCAGAACCAGCAUUUCUCAAUCAAAAAUAAAUAAAUAAAGUUUCUUUUAUUUUUUUUGGGCUUACUUUAAGUCCAAUCCAAUGUCUAAAACCUGAACUCGGCAUAUUCUACCAAAAGCAUCUUCUGUCAAAACCCUUUCUCCUCCCCCUUCUCUCUCUCUCUCUCUCUCUCUCUCUCCUGUUCUCUUCUUCUUCUUCUUCUUCUUUUUCUCUCACAUCUCCUUUUCAUGGAAGCUACGCCCCUGCUGCGGCGAUCCCUUUAGAUGCUCACGCGGCGCUCGGUGGCGCGGCCCCUUCUCUUCCUCCUCCGCCCUCUCUCCUCCUCCUCCUCCUCCUCCUCUCCUCCACACCCAAACCCUCAACGCCCAUCCUCCUCCUCCGACGAAGAAGAAGAACACGAGAAGCAGCAGCUACAACAACAACAACAACAACAACAACAGCUACACCACCGCCGCAACCUCCUCCUCACCUCCCGUCCCCUCUCCUCCCCACCGGCGCCGCCUCCGUCGGGCAUCGGCCUCGCCCUCGCCCUCGCCCGCCCUUCGUCUUCAUCUGCUCCCCCGGCUCUCCUCUCCUUCGCUCGCAGUUCGUUCCACAUGCCCUCUUUCCUGUUGCCAAUAUCCCCAAUUUAGUUCGUGGAAACGACUUCAAUCAAAAAGACUCGAAAUUUGUUAUUAUCUAGUUUGAUUUAUCGGUUUGUUGUUGGCAGAUUAUUCUCUGCGUGUCGCGAAGGUUAAAAGAGCCGAAUUUGAUGAUGAGACCAGGUGAAUCCUUUGAUUUUUCGCGUUGAUUUUUAAUCUUAAAUCUUAAACUUGGCGGGCAAGCAAGUUAGUGGUUCGGUUAGGAAAUGCAUAAUUUUGCACCUUUUUUUGGUGCUAAUAGGGUACAGUAUCUUAAAUUUGUUUCAUUCAGAUGUUGAAAUAUCGAAAACAUGGUGAAAAAUAGUCAUCUUUUGCUGUGAAAUUUGAGUUUUGGUGAGGUUUCGCGAAUUACAUUGAUUUUUAUCCAUAUUAUUUUUUUUUUCAAUCUUGUAUAUGUGUGUGCGCACGAGCGUAAAGGAACUGUCACGAAGCUGGAGUCUACUGUUAGUAACGAAUAACUUUUGUGGGAAUUUCUCAAGUAUAUUUACACUGCCCAUGGAUGGGAUAAUGUAGUGAACUCGAAAUCCUCUAGUCUAUUGGUUAAUCCCUUAUUUAUUAAGUCCCCUUGCUCCAUUACAGGUUUAGUUGUUGCAUUCAUGUAUGUUUUAUCGCAGCUGUACUUGUUUUUAGCUCUCUUUCUUUGUGAGGUAACUGUAAGUUGAACUGCUUAAUUCAGCCAGCGAGCAGUUAACACGGCACUAUGGUGCAACUUCCUCGUGUUCUCUCUCAAAUUCGGGGUGUGGAUGUCGACUUCUAGUCAUGUUAUGCUAGCUGAACUGGUCCACUCGGUUGCAGAUUUUGCAAACCAGGUACUUGUAGCUAAUGGCAAAACAACUAUGUUUUCUCCUUUUUAGUUUGUGCAUAAUCUAUUCCCUCUUUUCUUCUUGCAUUCAAACUCUGAUGAUUCUUCAUAGUUCAUACUCUACUCUUGUAUUGAGUCUUCAAAUUCUUAUUCACAAUUUUUCUAGCUAUCUUAUUCAGGUCAUAAAUCUAAAGUUUUUGAUAUUUUAGGCCCUUCUAGCAUAUGGUUUGAGUAGCUCAAGGCGUGCUCCAGAUGCUAUGCACCCGUAAGUCUGCUUCGCUGUAUGCUAAAAUCUUCUUGUAGUCAGGUGUUUCGCAAUCAGUAAGUCUGAAGCUUGUGUUGUGGUGGGAAGAGGAAGUGAUCUUUCGAGUUCCAAUGGCAAAAGCUCUAAUUUGAAGCUUUUGCUUUUGUUGUUUCAGGAGGCUUUAAGGAGAUUCUAAUGGAAAAAGCUAUUAAUAGUUGACUGAGUAGCUCUAGCCAAACAACAUUUUUACGAAAGCUCCAGCUGGGCCAAACUGGCCCUAAAGAACUGCUUUUUUUUUUUUUUUUUUUUUUUUUUUUUUUUUUUUUGGGGUUAUAAAUGAGGACUGCUUUCACCGUACAUUCUCAUCUUAUACAAAAGCGUCACAUUAGUUUUUCAAUGCAAAAAUAUAAUCAGAAGGUCAAAGGAAGUACUAUCAACCCUGAGCCAAUAGCCCUGUUUUCUUCUUCUGUUUACAGUUAUGGCUACUCAAAGGAAAGAUUUGUUUGGUCGCUGAUAUCUGCUGUGGGCAUCUUUUGCUUGGGUUCUGGUGCCACAAUCGUGCACGGGUUCCAAAACUUGUGGAACUCUCACGUAAGUAUUCUUAAGUGUGUUGUCCAAUGUUGCUUCUUCGAAGUAUCAAUAUUUCUUCCGAGUCUCUGAAUCUGGAAUUUUUAAUUUUUUUAUUUCCAAACAGCCCCCCGAAAAUAUUCAUUAUGCUGCUUUAGUGAUCGGUGGAUCAUUUCUGCUUGAAGGUACAACUUAAGAUGCUGUACUUUUGUUAUCGGAAGCAAAGUAAACAUAUAUUUAUGACUUUCAUAGGUGCUUCACUGCUUGUUGCUAUCAAUGCUGUGAAGAAAGGUGCCGCUGCAGAAGGAAUGAAAGUGUGGGAUUAUAUUUGGCGUGGUCAUGAUCCAACUUCAGUUGCUGUCAUGACAGAGGUGUAAAACUUAAUAAUUUUUUAUUUCGGGAUAUUAUGUAUACCCCUAUAAAAUUACCUUCUUACGUAUAUACAUCUGCAAAAUCUGCAUUUACAGACAUGCCUUGUGUACAUCAAUGCCCCUCUCUAAAAGAAAUUUUUAUAACACAGAAUGGAAGCCCACAUAAAUGGGUGAUUUCCCACCUUCAAACAAGGUCUUUUUGUAAGAAACUACAGGUUUGAGUGGUAAAUAUGAAAAUUUGGGCCCUACAAGGCAUAUGUGAAACUAAAUGAUUUUUCAGGGAUCUCUCUGUUUAAUCCUCCUUCUAUCAAUCAUUUUAGCAUCUAUUCUACAGGAAAUAAUGUUUUUUUUUUUUUUUUUAAAUAGCUAUUUACCCAUCAUAAUCUAGUAUCUGCUUAUUAAUUCUGUCUGCCUUGCCAUUGUUUGUUGAUGUUGUCUUCGCAUUUGAUCCUUCUGCUGAUUCAUCAUUAUGUAGGAUGGUGCUGCUGUAACUGGCCUCGCUAUUGCGGCGGCAUCAUUAGUGACUGUUCAUACGACUGGAAAUGCUAUAUAUGACCCAAUUGGUUCAAUCAUAGUUGGUAAUUUACUUGGAAUGGUAUGUAGUUUUUAUGCAAAUAUGUCCUUACUAUUUACUCAUUUUUAUUGGCUCGCCUAGUGAACAAUGUUAAAAUUCGCUAUCUAUUGCUACGAGUUCUAUUUAUUUGCUUAAUAAGCUACCAAGUUAAAAUCGUUGGAACCCACUGACUUAUAUUUUGAAAUGGCUAUCCAACCCAACAAUUUGGUCGCUAAGUUGAUUUGGCGCAAAAGAGAAUCACUAUUCUAUUGUUGGGACAAGCUCUUCUAAGAUCUGUUGCGUGCGCAUAUGUUGGCUUUCUUCCAAUGCAAUUUAUCGAUAGUUGAACCAAAUCUUGCAGGUUGCUGUUUUUCUCAUUCAGAGGAACAGGCAUGCUUUAAUUGGUAGAGCCAUUGAUGAUCAUGACAUGGAAAAAGUUCUUCAGUUCUUGAAGUCCGAUCCGGUGAAUUUAAUGGCACAUAAGGAUUUCUAUAGUUCUUGUAAUAUAAUAAGACUUAAUAUAUCUCUUUUCACUUAUUCUGUUUCGGCUUCAGGUCGUAGAUGCUAUUUAUGAUUGCAAAAGUGAAGUGAUUGGGCCAGGAUUCUUUAGAUUCAAAGCUGAGAUAGGUACUAUACUCAGCAUUAUAAUGAACUCAUCCCCAAACCACACAUUAAAACAAUGGUUAUGCUUUUGAUUUCCAGUUCACAGAUAAAUUCGUCAUGUUGAAUUUGUUUCUUACAUCAAAAUUUUGCAGUCUCUUUCAAUAAUCUUUCAAUUUCCUAUAAUCUUGGAACAAAGCUCAUUUUAUGUGCCGAUUGCAACAGAUUUCAAUGGCGUCGUGGUGGUGCAGAAUUAUUUGGAAAGAACAGGCCGAGAAGAAUGGGCGAAACAGGUACUUGCUAGUGCUGCAAAUUCGCAACACUUCUCCUCGUUACCUUGCAGAUUAUGACCCUGGCUUGGUUAGAGGAUACCCUAGUAUUUCUUUUUCUUUCUGAGUAAUCUUUACUUCUACUGAAUUUUACCAGUUUCGAGAGGCCGCAAAGUGCGAAGAUGAUAAAGCUCUACUCAUGGUCAUGGCUAAUUACGGUAUGUAAUUUAUGUGCUUGUUUGUUUAGACCUCCGUAAACAAUAACACUGUUUCGAAAAGUAGAAGUUAGACGUUUAGCAAAUAACUAAAAUGAGCUAUUUAAAGCUUGAAAAGCAAAAGCUCAAAUUUGAGGCUUUUGCUUCCGCUGCAGCGAACGGUGAAGAUGUUUUGCAAUAAAAGCAAUUUAAUUUUAUUCCUUUUUCAGUACAAGAUCUUAUGAGAAUUUUUACUGAAGGUGAGGAUGUAGUCGAAGCUCUCGGAGCCGAGGUGGAUCGGCUCGAAUCGGAGAUUCAAAAAAUCGUCCCCGGAAUUCGACAUGUCGAUAUCGAGGCGCAUAAUCCUGACGGCGUCUUGAAGUAACCCUCAUUAAUCUUUCGGCUUUUUUAUGGUAAUAAUUAAAUACAUGAGCUUUUUUGGUUUUUCUCUUCCUCUUCAUUGAUGGUCCAUUAUUUUUUUCCCGUUUUUUUUUUUUGUGAUUGAAGUGGCUCACCUUUUUAACUUCCUCUGAGAUAUCUGAUGAUUCAUUCGGUGUGCAAAAAGAUUUUCAUUAGAGUAUACAAACUGGGUUAGUCAUGAUGGAAAAGCUGUAGUAAAUGCAAAUUUGGGGUCUCUCUCUCUUUACUACUAAAAAAACAUUCUCAAAUUAUAGCUUGUGUUUUUGUUUUGCUUUAUUUAUUUAGUUAUUUUAUUUGUUUGUUUUCCAUCUCUUUCUCUUCCUUUCGUUUGUUUUCAUUAUUUUCUUUUCUUUGCUGUUUUCUUUGACACAUGCUCUUGAAACCUUACACAGGGAUUGAGGAAACAAAGAAACAAACUUAACUGGCUCCGUCCAGUGUAAUGAAAUCGCUAAUAAUAAAAUCAUAAACGGGAGUUCAAACCUUCAAUCUUAGAAAUUGGUGUGGAGAGAUAAUCUUUUGAGACUAACCAAUAUUAUUAAAUUAGAAAAUGUUUUCUUGUUUUCCAAAAACUGGUUACAAUAAUGAUUCUAUGCAAUUACAAAAUAAAAUCAAACCACUAGUAGUCUAAUGACCUGGUGCCCACCCUAAAAAGUUUUUCGAGUUCUAUAUAUAAUAUAAAUCUUUCAAAAUAUUAAAGAAAAGGUUAUUGUUUAUAUAAAAAGUUUUAGAUUUUCAUGUUCCAAUCUAUUUUAAAAAUAUUUAUAGAUUUAAAUUUUUGUUAAUGAGCUGUUAACAUUUUUCAAAAUAUUAAAGAAAAGGUAAUUGUUUAUAGAAAAAGUUUUAGAUUUUUACGUUCCAAUCUAUUUUAAAAAUAUUUAUAGAGUUAAAUUUUUGUUAAUGAACAGUUAGCAAUAACCGUUAGUUAUAUAAUAUAAAUCUUUCAAAAUAUUAAAAAAAGUAAUUGUUUAUAUAAAAAUAAAUAAAAUGUUUUUAAAAUUUUGAAAGAUAUAUAGGUUGUUAUUAUUAUUCCUUGAAAAGAGAACAAAACUGCGGAGUGCCCUCCACUAAAUUUUACCUUUCUUUUUCUUUUUUUUCUUUUUUUUUUUUUUUUUUUUUUUUUUUUUUNACCCCUUCCUCUUCGUAAAAGUAUAUAUAUAUAUAUAUAGAGAGAGAGAGAGAGAGAGAGAGAGAGAGAGAGAGAGAGAAA
This 39943-nucleotide long non-coding RNA is filed under the name Ananas comosus (pineapple). Its description in RNAcentral is "long non-coding RNA (ACOM_LNC002777)". Lineage: Eukaryota; Viridiplantae; Streptophyta; Magnoliopsida; Poales; Bromeliaceae. The record is from RNAcentral.